This 206-nucleotide ribosomal RNA is filed under the name uncultured bacterium. RNAcentral describes it as "partial 16S ribosomal RNA". It matches the Rfam family "Bacterial small subunit ribosomal RNA", at positions 568 to 774 of the family's 1533-position model. The record is from RNAcentral.
AGCGUAGACGGCUGUGCAAGUCUGAAGUGAAAGGCAUAGGCUCAACCUGUGGACUGCUUUGGAAACUGUGCAGCUAGAGUGUCGGAGAGGUAAGUGGAAUUCCUAGUGUAGCGGUGAAAUGCGUAGAUAUUAGGAGGAACACCAGUGGCGAAGGCGGCUUACUGGACGAUGACUGACGUUGAGGCUCGAAAGCGUGGGAGCAAACA